Molecule: ribosomal RNA, 387 nt
Filed under: Alectorobius peropteryx
Lineage: Eukaryota; Metazoa; Arthropoda; Arachnida; Ixodida; Argasidae
Description: Carios peropteryx partial 16S ribosomal RNA
Source: RNAcentral
UUUAAAUUGCUGUGGUAUUUUGACUAUACGAAGGUAUUGAAAUAAGGCUUUAAUUGGGUGCUAAGAGAAUGGUUUAACAAAAAAUAGCUUUCUUUUUUUUUAUAAUAGAAUUUAAUGUAAAAAUGAAAAAGUUUUUAUAAUUUUUUGGGACAAGAAGACCCUAUGAAUUUUUCUUAAAUUAUAUUUAUAAUUUUUAAUUUAAAUUAAAUUAAGUAAAAAAUUUAAGUUGGUUGGGGUGAUUUUUAAAGAAUGGGUAUCUUUAAAUUAUUAGGAAAUUGAUCCAGAAUUUUUGAUUAAUUGAAAUAAAUACUCUAGGGAUAACAGCGUAAUUAUUUUGGAUAGUUCAUAUAGGUAAAAUAGUUUGCGACCUCGAUGUUGGAUUAAGAU